CCCUUAGAUGUUCUGGGCUGCACGCGCGCUACACUGAUGCGUUCAACGAGUUUAUGACCUUGCCCGAUAGGGUUGGGUAAUCUUUUUAAAUCGCAUCGUGAUGGGGAUAGAUUAUUGCAAUUAUUAAUCUUCAACGAGGAAUUCCUAGUAAGCGCGAGUCAUCAGCUCGUGCUGAUUACGUCCCUGCCCUUUGUACACACCGCCCGUCGCUCCUACCGAUUGAACGAUUCGGUGAAAACUCCGGACUGUGGUUGCUCACCCUUUAUUGGGAGUGCUUCCGUGGGAAGUUGUGUGAACCUCAUCGUUUAGAGGAAGGUGAANUCGUAACA
This 329-nucleotide ribosomal RNA is filed under the name uncultured eukaryote. RNAcentral describes it as "partial 18S ribosomal RNA". It matches the Rfam family "Eukaryotic small subunit ribosomal RNA", at positions 1470 to 1796 of the family's 1831-position model. The record is from RNAcentral.